RNAcentral lists this ribosomal RNA (133 nucleotides) under uncultured bacterium. RNAcentral's name for it is "partial 16S ribosomal RNA". The record is from RNAcentral.
CGGAGUUAGCCGAGGCUGAUUCCUCAGGUACCGUCAUUUGUUCUUCCCUGAGAAAAGGGGUUUACAACCCAAGAGCCUUCCUCCCCACGCGGUCUUGCUCCGUCAGGCUUGCGCCCAUUGCGGAAAAUUCCCC